Long non-coding RNA from Galleria mellonella (greater wax moth), 927 nucleotides. RefSeq lists it as uncharacterized. The record is from RefSeq and is a predicted model, not a curated record. Lineage: Eukaryota; Metazoa; Arthropoda; Insecta; Lepidoptera; Pyralidae. The transcript has 2 exons.
UGCAAUGAAUAUUUACAAGUUUGUAAAAUAUGAAAUAUAUAUAUGACCAAUUUUGUUAUCCGCAACAGUUUGUACAUUUUAUAUCAGUGAAUUUGUCCGAUUGUAACAUUUGUAUGUGUUAUUUAAAUAUUUUCACAUAAUUUCCGAGCCCUGUAUUAGGAUGGACUCGUUUCUAAGGUCAUUUGUGUUUAUGGCUACCUUUUUCGUUAUCCUUCAGUCCAUCAACGCCCAUUGGAUUGGGGGAUGGGGUCGUCCGGCCUAUGGAUAUGGUUAUGGUUACGGAGGAGUCCGUUAUGGUUACGGAUAUGGAGGCUUCGGAGGUGUCUACGCUCCUCUGCCUCCCUUGCCUCCUCCUCCCCCGCCACUAAUCUAUGGUUAAAAAAUGAUAAAAAAAACUAUUAUUGUGAUAUAGUUAAAUUAUAGAAUCACUAAGGACACGUAUUAAGCUGACUGUUUUUUAUUAUUUUGUUGGUUUAUUAUUAUUUUUGUUUUGUUUAAUUCCACUAAAUUAUUUUGUUUAAUUCCGCUACAUUAUUAUGUAUGAGAUAUCCAUUAUUAUGUCAUCCAUUAUCUGUCUACUGCUGAACAUAGGCCUCUUCUAUAGACUGCCAAAAAGAACGGUUCUAAGCCACUUGUAUUCACUGACUUCAUACAAAUUAUUUUAAUAUUAUUGUUUAGCUUUCAUACUCCUCACGUAUACUAAUGAUAGCGGGAUUAAACAAAAUAAUAAAAAUAAGUAAGUAGCCAGUAUUACGAUUCUAAUGUAAGUGCAUAUAGUUUAAUUUAAUUUUGUGACUUCAUUUAGUUUUAUUUCAGAUUUUGUUAAAAUUAAAACAUUAUAAAUAUAAAUACUUUUGUUUAUAUUUGACAUUUUAUUAACAAUUAUUAAUUCGAUUUUUGUAAGAAAAAUAAAAUAUGUGAAUAUUA